Molecule: non-coding RNA, 2707 nt
Organism: Zootermopsis nevadensis
Lineage: Eukaryota; Metazoa; Arthropoda; Insecta; Blattodea; Termopsidae
Source: RefSeq, a predicted model, not a curated record
AUUUCACACGUGUUCAUCUAGGGCUGGACGCUUAUAUGUAGAUUAAUCACUGAAACAUUCUUUUUGUAAAAGUUUUUUGUUGUGCCAGUUUUAAAAGCUACUUAGUAGAGUUAAUACAUUAUAAAAUAUUGCGGUGUACAUUUGUUUAUUAUCUCUGGGUACUGAGGUACAGGUACUGUUGGGCAGAUUUUUGAGACUUUUGAUAUGGGAAAAUGACUACAGGACUUUAAUUGGUAUGUAAUGUUGUAGGAAUUGGCAGUUCUAACAAAAAACUUUAGUGGAGCUGAGUUGCAAGAUUUGGUGCGUGCUGCACAGUCCGCGGCAAUGAACCGUCUUAUCAAGGCUGCUAGGAAAGUGGAAGUUGGUGAAUGGAUCAGACUUCCUCCAAGCUCUUAAAAAUGACAUCAAACCCAUUUAAUACUUUCCAAGUGACUGCAUGUGAAAGGUGCAAACCUCAGCUGCUAAUUCUAGGUACAGACAUUAUGGUGUUGCCUCCACGUUACAGGCCUAUGGAAGAAGUGGUGAUGUGCUAGAACAUUUCCUUGAUAGUGGAAUUAUUAACUGGGGUACUCCUGUAAGCAGGAUCCUAGAAGAUGGAAUGUUGUUCAUACAGCAAGCCAGGGCUACAGACACGUCAGGUUUAGUUUCUGUUCUUCUUGAAGGCUCAGCAAACUCUGGAAAGACAGCGCUUGCUGCGCAACUCGCAAAAAACUCGGACUUUCCUUUUGUGAAAGUUUGUACACCAGAAGAAAUGGUUGGCUUCACUGAAUCUGAAAAAUGUUUGCAAAUAAGAAAGGGAAAUGUUAGAAGAUUUGAAGAUGUUGUCAGCAUUUACAGCUGUUCUUCAUGUUCCAAACCUUUCACAAAAAGUUCAUUUAAAGGCUGUUCUUCAACAAUCACGUGUUUUCACAGAGGAGGAUUUGUUAGCGUUAUCUCGGAGAUUUCGUCGACACAGGGUGUUCAUUGGCGUCAAGAAAUUGCUCGCUUUGAUUGACAUGACUCGUCAGACAGAGGAGCCAUACAGAGUUAUGAAAUUCCUUUCUGAACUUGAAGAGGAAGGAGGUUUGAAAAUGCGCUGCUCAAUACAGUAAACACACAUUUCAUGGGUAAGGAGAAAGUUGUAUUUGUGUUCAGUUACUUUCUUCAGUAUCCGUUGUGAGGGAGAUAGAACUGUUAGGAAAAUCAGCAUUGAUUAAAAAAGGAGAAUAAUUCCAGAUAUAAGUAAAUAUUCCAUUCAAUUCUAUAUCGUUGAUGUAUAGUUAAAUGAAAAUAUGUCAUUGAUGUAAAAGUCAUGAUGGGGGUAAUGUGGAGAUAAAUCGCUAUGCAAACUUUUGCUAUAGGCAAAUGUGAGAACCAUAAAUGUAAUGUGUUCCAGUUUUCAUAGUGUGGAAAUUUUUAUGAAAUGUUAAAGAGUUUUUGUCACUGUAGCUGUGGUAAGAAGAAUGCACUCUUGCACUUUCACGCAACCCCCAUCAUAUAUAGAUGAUGUUAUUUAUGAAGAUUGCUGUCUUCUCUGUAAUUGCGUUGUGUAGUCUGGUAGAUUCCACAUUUUCAGAGGUCAUACUGCCUCCAUCAUCAAUGCGAUGAAUUCAUCACCCUGAUGACAAAAGAUCUGUUAGCAAGCUGGUCACUGCACUUGUUGAAGAGGGUGGGGUAAGUGCUACCUAGCACUGUGGGUGGAAACUACACGGGAAUUGCGAUGAUGUGCCAUACAUUAAAAAUAUAUUAAAGGACACUAAUAAAUAUAAUGGCAAUGGAAAUAAAAUUAAAACUGGCAGAACUAAAUGCAUUCAAAAAACAAGGGCAAAUAGAAAUCACUUUUCUGGGAUAAGACAGCUGACUGAGAAAAAACAGAAACAUUUGAUAAGACAAGAAUGGAAGAUCUUUUGAAGAAAGUAAAAAAAUACAUUUUAAAAGAGUAUAACUGUAUUAAGGCAAGCAUGGUUAUCAUAGGUUGAUACCAUACACAGAAAACACACUUCACAUACUGAGACAAAAGGGAAUACAUACAUUUAGACUGGGAUACUGGGAAGAUAAUAUUUACAUUUAAACUUUAAUUACCAUUAAUAAACACAACUGAAAUUCAAAAGAUAGAAAUGCACUGAUAUUAAAUGUCCUCUACUCGCUUUCCUCUUCCCCCAAACCAAAAGAAACAAAAAUUAAACAGCACCUACCUGUCUUAUUUGCAAACAUUUUUCAGAUUCAGUGAAGCCAACCAUUUAUUCUGGUGUACAAACUUUCACAAAAGGAAAGUCCGAGUUUUUUGCAAUCUGCGCAGCAAGAGCUGUCUUUCCAGAAUUUGGUGGGCCUUCAAGAAGUACAGAAACUAAACCUGACGUCUCUGUAGUCCUGGCCUGCUGUAUGAACAACAUUCCUUUGUCUAGGAUCCUGCUUACAGGAGUACCCCAAUUAAUGAUUCCACGAGCAAGGAAAUCUUCCAGCACUUCACCACUUGAAGAUGAAUAUUCAUUGUCCUGAUGCUGGAGGCAGUAUGCCUCUGAAACGUUGGUUAACAUUGACCAGACUACACGGCGCAAUAACAUAGAAGACAGCAAUCUACAGACUCACUGCUGUGAAAACCUCAGAUCCUACGAUGUUAUUUAUAACUGUUAAUUACAUUCCUCUUUCUGUAGUUGACCAAGAGUGUCAUCUGCUCUCUAAAUUACUGUGUUUCAUCUUGAGAAUUAAAUUACAUUUUUAAAUUGAA